Molecule: long non-coding RNA, 951 nt
Organism: Setaria italica (foxtail millet)
Lineage: Eukaryota; Viridiplantae; Streptophyta; Magnoliopsida; Poales; Poaceae
Exons: 2
Source: RefSeq, a predicted model, not a curated record
GGACCAUCUUCCCGAACUCGCCUGAAGCUUCGCGGCCUGUCCCUUCGCCCCGCAAGCGCCGAGGUCGCCAGCUCGCCGCCGCCUCUCCCCCGUUGCAGUCUGAGCGGUGUGGCCUCUGCUCUUCACCUGCAUCGCCGCCCGCGCCUUCUUCCUCCACUUGCCGCACCGCCCUCUGGCUCUCCGCAACGCCUCUCGCCCAGCUGGUGGCGUCUUGCUGAGUACGGUGGAGGCGCGAGCCGCGUGGCACCGCCGGAAUUCGUCGGCGCCGGCGAGGUCAACGGCAUCUUCCGCGAGCCACUUCCCAAGGCGAUGCUCCCGGCCCAUCCACUGCCGCUCGAGGUGUGGCCCAUCCGCUGCAGAAGACGAGCGCAGCUGCGCACGGGAGGUGCAGAGGUGGCUGCCGCGGCUCAUCGCCUGCCACAGCUUUUGCAAGCUAAGGUGCCCUAUAGGUGUUCGAUGAAAUGCUCGAUGGAUCUUGCAGCAAGAUGCUCACAGCUGUGCCUGUGGCGUAUGAAAGAACCAUAAAAGUUCCACAGAUAUCUGGAAAGAACAAGCUCAUCUCAGUUAUAGCAGACAGUUCUGCAAUGAGCAAGAGGCACUCGAUGGUCAGAGCGAUAGUUCCAUUUCAAACCUGAACGCAGUUUCAGAGUGCAGAGAGAUUGGCUAUGGCUGUCACAUAUAUAGCCGUCACAUAUACAUUGAUAGGUAUUUAGAGCAGUCUGAAUUUCAAUUUUAUCUUAUUAUUCUAUCAUCAGAUUUAUUCAGUGUCCUCCUUUGGAAGCAGUGGCUGUAAAUGACCAAAGUAGCACUCACUAUCGAUGACCAUCGAGAAAUCAAUAGUAGCGAUUUCUGCUAGCAGUGGCCUUGUACACAACCUUUUCCAGCGGUGGCUGUACACAACUUUGUUAUAUUGUAUGUUUCUUCUAGCAGUGGCUAUACGCAAUUAAUUUC